This 520-nucleotide ribosomal RNA is filed under the name uncultured Entrophospora. RNAcentral's name for it is "SSU rRNA". It matches the Rfam family "Eukaryotic small subunit ribosomal RNA", at positions 569 to 1083 of the family's 1831-position model. The record is from RNAcentral. Lineage: Eukaryota; Fungi; Glomeromycota; Glomeromycetes; Entrophosporales; Entrophosporaceae.
AGCAGCCGCGGUAAUUCCAGCUCCAAUAGCGUAUAUUAAAGUUGUUGCAGUUAAAAAGCUCGUAGUUGAAUUUCGGGAUUGACGUGACGGUCAUGCCUUAAGGGGUAUGAACUGUUACAGUUGAUUUCUCACCUUCUGGAGAAACUUGAUGUCCUUUAUUGGGUGUCUUGCGGAUCCAGGACCUUUACCUUGAAAAAUUAGAGUGUUUAAAGCAGGCAUUUUUGCUCGAAUACAUUAGCAUGGAAUAAUAGAAUAGGACGGCAUGGUUCUAUUUUGUUGGUUUCUAGGAUCACCGUAAUGAUUAAUAGGGAUAGUUGGGGGCAUUAGUAUUCAAUUGUCAGAGGUGAAAUUCUUGGAUUUAUUGAAGACUAACUACUGCGAAAGCAUUUGCCAAGGAUGUUUUCAUUAAUCAAGAACGAAAGUUAGGGGAUCGAAGACGAUCAGAUACCGUCGUAGUCUUAACCAUAAACUAUGCCGACUAGGAAUCAGACGAUGUUAAUUUUUUAAUGUACUCGUUUUG